Molecule: ribosomal RNA, 253 nt
Filed under: uncultured bacterium
Lineage: Bacteria
Description: partial 16S ribosomal RNA
Rfam family: Bacterial small subunit ribosomal RNA
Source: RNAcentral
UACGUAGGGGGCAAGCGUUGUCCGGAUUUAUUGGGCGUAAAGAGCGUGUAGGCGGCUAGGUAGGUCCGUUGUGAAAACUCGAGGCUCAACCUCGAGACGUCGAUGGAAACCAUCUAGCUAGAGUCCGGAAGAGGAGAGUGGAAUUCUCGGUGUAGCAGUGAAAUGCGUAGAUAUCGAGAGGAACACCAGUGGCGAAGGCGAGUCUCUGGACGACUCCUGACACUGAGGCACGAAAGCUAGGGGAGCAAACAGG